Molecule: microRNA precursor, 131 nt
Filed under: Picea abies (Norway spruce)
Lineage: Eukaryota; Viridiplantae; Streptophyta; Pinopsida; Pinales; Pinaceae
Description: miR11493a stem-loop (pab-MIR11493a)
Source: miRBase by way of RNAcentral
AUUGUAGUGUUGAGAAGAUUGAGGAAGGGAUUUAGGCUGAGCAAGUCCAAUCCUAUUAUAUUUUUGCUCGAAGGAGAACAUUUUUCCACUCGUCUUCCAAAUCUCUUCCACAAUCUUCUCAACACUACAAU